Molecule: transfer RNA, 92 nt
Filed under: Sediminihabitans luteus
Lineage: Bacteria; Bacillati; Actinomycetota; Actinomycetes; Micrococcales; Cellulomonadaceae
Description: tRNA-Arg
Source: RNAcentral
CGCGAUCGCGGCGUGGGUGCUCAUGCACGCCUCGGGCGUGCACGCGACGAUCGCGGGCGUGCUGCUCGGGUUCAUGAUCCCGGCGAUCGCGA